GGAGGGCUUAUCCAACUUGCUGUGGCAAAUCCAUGUCGAGAGAUCUGCAUAUAGGUGGAAUUUCCUUCUGUACAUAUGCUCUUGGGUCUGUGUGCUCGUCAGCUGCCCUGUCCACUUUCCUGGCUCUACAGUCUGGUGUUCUGCAGCCUGAAAUCUCCUUGCCAUCUGCGGUCUUUGUCCCCUGGUUCUGGUGCCAUGCCCCACCGCUGACCCUGUGGAAGCUGCGCAGACUCUUGGAAGGUGAAGGUGCCAUUCUUUUGGAUUCCAGCAGUGAGAACACGACCUCAGCCUCCACAGGUAGCACUCGCAGCUCCACCCCCAGUGAGGCAAAGUCCUGGCACUCCAGGCAUCCUGGGCAGUUGGCAUGGCAGGUGGCAUCUUCUAGACAGGGAGGAGGAGAGGUUCCCUGUGACCAAAGUCCACAUGCAGGGCCAGACCUGAACAGUCUACAAACUCUCCUGGAGUAGUUGCAUGCAGUGAAAGAAGAGGAGAGCUGGUAAUUUCAGAGCAGGUCUCUUCAUGGAAGUCAGUGGAAAUAAAAUACAAUUAUUCCUCCUGAGACUCAUGGUGGGAAAGAGGGAAAGGGAAUGAAAAGAAAAAAAUAAUGAAUAAAUUGGUGUAGGACAGGGAUGUUUGAUUGGCUUUGUUGUUUGUGGGGGCCAGUCAUGGCCCACUGGAGUUUGACAUUUGGAAAAUAACUUCUUCCUCUAAAAUUGAGGCAUUGAUAUAUUUGUAAACAUUUGUUUCAUUUCAAGGACAUUGUUUGUUAAGCUUGUUUUCUUCUUUGACCCUCGGAUAACAGGAGCUCCUUAGAUCUGAUAUUAUCUGUAAGAGUCAGGAAAUCUGGUCUUUGCAUAAAGAUGAAAACAAUUGCUUGGUGCUUCCUGUUGUUGUGUGCCCUUAAAAGCUUCCUGUUCAUGUGUGCCUUUAAAAGGAGCUGUUUCUGUGAAAUAGAUCAGACUUCUCUUGGUCUCCACUCAGGCUUGAGUGUUCUUUCCUUUCUCAAUCCUCACUCCCCAACUCAGGCAUGUUCAUGUUGUGACAGCUGGGCUGCCAUAAGUGGCAACUGAACAGGGACCUGAGUAUUGAGGGAUCUAGUGAAGGACACUGCAGAGAAGAAUGAGGCCUCAACAAAAAAGGUAAGGAGCAGUGAGUUUUUCUUGUAAAUAUUAAAAAUGGGAGCCGGCAAUAGUUGCAUGCUUUUUGUACAUAUGCUUAAAGAUUUAUUGUGUGUCGGUGGUGCUAGAGUUGGGCACCAGCAAUUGUGUAAUUUUUUAGAAUUUGUAGAAAUAGUUUGUCCUUGGUAAUUUAAAAACUUGGAGUAAAAUUAAAAAACUAUUACAAGAUUAUUAUGCCACACACGGGCCUAGUAAAGUACAUGUGGAUGCUUUUAGCUUAUGGACUCUCAUCCAAGAUAGUUUAGAUCCAAGACAUGAAAGUGAAAAGGAUGGGCACAACUAACCCUAGGGGAUCCCUACUGUGUUGAGCACUUAAACUUUAGUACUUGUUCUUUUUUUGCUUCUGUGUCUUUCUCUUCCUGUUAAUGUCUGAAUUGGUAAUUUGUGAUCUGGAUCAUUUUGGAGGCUGGGAGGUCCAGGCAGAUGUGCUAGUGGACUCCCUGCCUCAGGGGCCGGAGAUGUCCUUUGCCCCUCUGGUAGGAACUCUGUCUCUCUGUUUAUGGGGAGGGAGGUUGAUUUUUUCCCCCUUCUCAGGACCUUCUGGUCAAAGAAGAGUUUUUCUGGUUUCACAAGAGGAGAUUAAAGGGGAUUCCCCGACAGAGUCCCUAGUUCUUUCAGUUUGUUUCUCUUACAUUCUGUUUGGCCUCUCUUGUUUAUCUGUUCACUUAUUUUGAAUUUUCUGACAGGAUGAGAAGAAGGUCAUCUACUGCCUUACCUUGAUUUUAGACCAUUUCCAGGAGGUCCGUUGGAUUGCAGCUGACCUUGGACUUCACAUAACUAAGAAAGAAAUUUCAAAACAACCCAGCCUAAGAGUUGCUCAAACUUCUGCUCUGUGACAGUCAGCUGCUAAUGAAAACUAUUUAGUUUUGGUAACACUUCUUGUGCAUUGCAAAUUCUUAAACUGUGAUGACAGGGUUAACUUGCUCUUUUCUAAAAAACUCAAAGUUAAUACUGUUGUAUUGGCAGCCAGUCAAAUUUUAAGAUGUAACAGUCUAAGAACAGAAAAAGGACACUUUAAACUGAAGUUCGUUAUAGAAGGUUAAUAGUAAAGGAGACAGAAAAAUAUUAGGAAAGCUAUAAGUAAGAGUUAUACUUUUAACAUGAAAGGUUUUUGUAUGUUUGUCUUGUUAAAAACAGGUAAAGAAAGAUAUACAAGAUCAGAAGGCCUAAGUACGUAGAAAUAGUGUGUGGAAAUGAUUUAUUUAUGCUUGCUUGUUGGUUUUAAGUCUGUUAUAAAAGGUUUACAUUUACAGUCAAGAAGAGCUUUCAUUCCUUUAAUCCUAAUUCUACAAGAGAUCUCUGUCAAUUUUGACCUGCAAAAAUUUUGACUAGUUGUAACUAAAAGAUUUUAUAAUUCAAUUGGUCAAAACCAUCUGAGUUCACUCUAGUUUAAAUGUUUGCCUGUCUAAUGUUCAAUAGUGUUUGUCCGAUUAUGUUUUUGAUCAAAAUGAUGUCAAAUACAAAUAGAUUGCUGAUUUCUACACCCUGGUUUCAUAGGAUAAAUAAAAAAUUUAAAGAUAAUUAAAUAUAAACUUUUAAGUUUGGGUACACUUCUGUUGGUAAAUAAAGAAGCAGCUGCUCAGAAAAUUUAUUCUGAUCUUUGUUCACUAGUGGGAGCCCAAAUGAUUUUCAUAGUCUUAUAAAAAGAUAUGCCUUGUUAAAUAUGUUGUUAAAAAUGUUUGCAUUGGUUAUCAUCAAAAGGCUGAAUUCUAAAUAUAUUAUUGUAACAUGUUUAUGAUGGUUAUCUUCAAAAUAUAAUAUUUUCUGUAAAAAAAUGGGAGGAAGAUCCUGUUGAUACAAAGCUACAUUACAGGACAUAAGAUUUCAUAUAAUUAUAAUAAUUAUUAUUGCUACUUUUCUGGUAUACAAAAUGUAUUCAUGUUGUUUGACCGUGCAGGUUUUCCAGCAUAUUGUUUAUGAUAAUAACCUUUUGGUUCAGGUAUUCUCCCUUCUCUUCUGCUCCACCUACUUAUGGUUACAGGUACAUUUAUAGACCCACCACUAUCCCUGGACAGCUUGAAGCUGGGUUCCACUGAGGAUACUGGAUUGGGACCCCAACACUGAAGCAGCAAACUCCAGGAUGUGUCUCAGUGCAAAGGCGAAAUUUCAUUCCAAAAAGCAAAAUGUGACCACCUUCUAUCUAGAAAAAGGACAAAAUAGAACUGGUGAGUCCCCGCAAUCCCUUCCCCUGUGUGAGGAAGAGACAAGGGAGAGUAAUAAAACAGUUUUGUGGAAAAAGUGUUAUGUGACUAUGCCUCAGGAACAACAGUUUAAUGGAAUGUCCUGAAAGUUCAUGGAUUGGUCCCAUGGGAAUUCUACUGCUCUGGGUCUAUCAACAGGACUUUGGUGGACAGAUACGGAUUCCCUCAGACUAAUAUAUGGAAGCUUGCUGCUGCCUUUGGAAAAGUACAAUUACAAAGGCAGAAAAAAAAAAGAUAAUGCCUUGUGUUAAUGCUCCUAUGUUAUUAGUAGGAAAUAUAUUAAUUAUCAGUUUCAUAAACAAUAACAAUAGCUGCUUUAAUUGUAAAUUGACCAAUUGUAUAUUCUCAGAAAUGAUGACUUCCUUUCAUUCUGCGAUGGUUUUGGGACAACCUCCCUUUGUAAUGAUGCCUGUAAAAAUUAACGAGUCCUGGUAUGAGGAUCAAGGGUUGCAAAUAUUGAUAGAGGUAGAGAAAGCUACAUGUCAAGCCUCCACAACCUACAGUCUAAUCCCUGCAGGGGCUGUUAGUCAAAGAUGGGUAAGAGAAUUGUAGAGAAAUAUCCAACCUAAGACAGAGCAUGAGUAUCAGAAUUCUCAUGGCUUGAUGAUGGGUAAGGGAUUUCUCUGGACAUUUCUCACCUAAGGACAGGCACCGUCUUUCUGCUGAGCUGGGAAAGUCCCUAAUAAAAAGGGGGAUAUGUGGGGGCCAGACAUGGCCCACUGGAGUUUGGCAUUUGGAAAAUAACUUCUUUUUCUACAAGUGAGGCAUUGAUAUAUUUGUUAACGUUUGUUUCUUUUCAAGGACAUUGUUUGUUAAGCUUGUUUUCUUCUUUGACCCUCGGAUAACAGGAGCUCCUUAGCUGAAGAUCUGAUAUUAUCUGUAAGAGUCAGGAAAUCUGGUCUUUGCAUAAAGAUGAAAACAAUUGCUUG
This is a long non-coding RNA of Fukomys damarensis (Damara mole-rat), 4308 nucleotides long. The record is from Ensembl. Lineage: Eukaryota; Metazoa; Chordata; Mammalia; Rodentia; Bathyergidae.